GGGCCCAUAGCUCAGCUUGGUAGAGCGGCAGGCUCAUAGCCAGGGGACCGGUCAGGGGUUCAACUCCCCUUGGGCCCACCA
RNAcentral lists this transfer RNA (81 nucleotides) under Candidatus Thorarchaeota archaeon. Its description in RNAcentral is "tRNA-Met". It matches the Rfam family "tRNA". Rfam says of the family: Transfer RNA (tRNA) molecules are approximately 80 nucleotides in length. Their secondary structure includes four short double-helical elements and three loops (D, anti-codon, and T loops). Lineage: Archaea; Promethearchaeati; Candidatus Thorarchaeota. The record is from RNAcentral.